UAGCAGUUUAUUCUACAUGCAUGUAUGGGAAAAACUAUAAUAUGUAUACCAUCAAUUACUUAAUCCUUCUGACAUUGCAAUAACUUCACCUCCCAGAGUUCCUAGCUAUGUAUUAAUAUGAGCUCCAUCUUCUUCUCAAUUGAAGUUCUCAUUUUCUGCUUUGCCCAUACAUGCAUGUAGAAUAAACUGCUAUGCAUUCCCUGAAGGGAAAUAGCAUCAUCACUUGCUCAUGAGCAAAGCUGAUUACUAGAAGAUGGAGAAUACAUAUAUGGCAAUUAGCUAAUUAAUAUAUAAAUCAAAGUACAUUAGUAAACAAAUUAAGGGACUAACAAUAUAAGACUUCAUGGGUGCUGUUUUGGGAGGAAGCUGGAGGGAACUAAAUCUUGUAAAAGGCCAUAAUCAGGAAGCUGCUGCUGUGGAGCAUAUAGAUGUGGAUAGAACAUGGCAGUAGGGUCACCUUGGUGGUGGUUAUUAUACGGUGGAAGCAAGCGAACGAAGAUGUCCUGAGGAAAGGUUGGUCGAUGGGCCAUCAUUGAAGAUGUAGAUGGCAGAAGCGAAUUAGGUGACAAAAUUCCUGCGGCAGUAUUAGCUCGAAGAGUUGCAGGGCAUUGAUGGUUAUGUUUCCCUUCGUACGUAGUGAUCACAAUUGAUGGGUCUUCGAAUGAUCUCUCUACUCGUUUCUUCACUGUGCACUUCUGACUGGUGCAUCUGUAAUAGCUUCUUGGAUAAGGACUAUUCUUGACUGCCUUCUGGCCGUACUUUCUCCAUCUGUAACCAUCUUCAAGGUGAUCAAUCUCACUCUUGGUCAAGAAGGAAAACCUUGGCUCUCUUUCUCGUUUCUCUUUCUUCU
This 850-nucleotide unclassified non-coding RNA is filed under the name Hevea brasiliensis (rubber tree). Lineage: Eukaryota; Viridiplantae; Streptophyta; Magnoliopsida; Malpighiales; Euphorbiaceae. The record is from RNAcentral.